RNAcentral lists this unclassified non-coding RNA (247 nucleotides) under Hevea brasiliensis (rubber tree). The record is from RNAcentral. Lineage: Eukaryota; Viridiplantae; Streptophyta; Magnoliopsida; Malpighiales; Euphorbiaceae.
ACUUACUGAGAUGUUACAAAUCAGAUACACAUAAUUGUUGUUGAGAACCCCAAGCACUAAAAGAUCUUCAUAGUGCACAACCUUAGCUGGAUUUAUAUUAUCGGCAAAUUAUAGUUCAGCUUUUUUGUUGUGAAAAGAAUAGAAAGAAAGAGAGAUUUGAGAGAAAAUUUGUAUAUAUUUUCAUUCACAACAAUACAGAUAUAUUUGUACACAUUACAAAUAGUAAGGGGACUCCUAUUGUACUUAG